This 372-nucleotide ribosomal RNA is filed under the name uncultured organism. RNAcentral describes it as "bacterial SSU rRNA". It matches the Rfam family "Bacterial small subunit ribosomal RNA", at positions 526 to 896 of the family's 1533-position model. The record is from RNAcentral.
CGUAGGUGGCAAGCGAUACUCGGAAUCACUAGGCGUAAAGCGCAGGUAGGCGGUUCGGUAAGUCUUUUGUGAAAGCUCCUGGCUCAACUGGGAGAGGUCAAGGGAAACUACCGGGCUAGAGUGUGGUAGGGGAUACUGGAAUUCCUGGUGUAGCGGUGAAAUGCGUAGAUAUCAGGAGGAAUACCUAUGGCGAAAGCAGGUAUCUGGGCCAUCACUGACGCUGAGCUGCGAAAGCUAGGGGAGCAAACAGGAUUAGAUACCCUGGUAGUCCUAGCCCUAAACGAUGCUCAUUAGAUGUGGGAGGUAUCGACCCCUUCCGCGUCGCAGCUAACGCAUUAAAUGAGCCGCCUGGGGAGUACGGCCGCAAGGUUG